Molecule: ribosomal RNA, 305 nt
Filed under: uncultured bacterium
Lineage: Bacteria
Description: bacterial SSU rRNA
Rfam family: Bacterial small subunit ribosomal RNA
Source: RNAcentral
UGGGGCCUACGGGAGGCAGCAGUGAGGAAUAUUGGUCAAUGGUCGGGAGACUGAACCAGCCAAGCCGCGUGAGGGAGGAAGGUACAGAGUAUCGUAAACCUCUUUUGUCAGGGAACAAAGACUGGGACGCGUCCCCGGAUGAGUGUACCUGAAGAAAAAGCAUCGGCUAACUCCGUGCCAGCAGCCGCGGUAAUACGGAGGAUGCGAGCGUUAUCCGGAUUUAUUGGGUUUAAAGGGUGCGCAGGCGGUCUGUUAAGUCAGCGGUCAAAGCCCGGGGCUCAACCCCGGCCCGCCGUUGCAACUGG